UUCAAGAGUUUCUUUCGGGUCUCCCGGAAAUCUCCAUUUGCUCUUAAAGCUCUCUUUGUUUUGUUCUUGCUGGGUGUAGGUAAAAGUGUGUUCCUCUUUUAAUUUUUUCUCAGAUCUUCUUCUCUUUUCUCUUUUUUUGUCCUUUCGUAAUAUUUUGGGUUGUCUUCGUACUUUUUCUCUUCGUCGUUUUUCUUUAGGUGCUUUUCCCGGUUCUAUGAAUACUUUUUAAUUUUGCAAUUUCAUGGUUAUCAUGUGCUAAAUCCGACUGUGUGACUGGGAGUAGACGGGAAUUAGCGCUAUAAAUUUUUCUAAAAUACAUAAUGGUAUUGAAAGAAGACUCGGAGGCUUCUUAGUCAUAUUUGGAGGCAUUUUUCAAUUAAAAGGUAAUGUUUUCUCUCAUAUGAUAUUUUAUGUAUAAAUAUUGUAUGUUUAGCUGAGUUCUUCCAUUUCGAAACAAUCUAAAAACUACUUCAAGUGAUUGUUCUUUGUUGAUUUUGUCACCUGUAAAAGAGGUCUUCUACUAUUCUUUUGGUUCCUUGUUGUGUUUGGUUCCUUUAUAUAUGUAAAUAGUAGGAGUAAUAUUUAUCAGUUAA
Nicotiana tabacum (common tobacco) is the source of this 593-nucleotide non-coding RNA. NCBI's taxonomy places the organism in Eukaryota, Viridiplantae, Streptophyta, Magnoliopsida, Solanales, Solanaceae. The record is from RefSeq and is a predicted model, not a curated record.